Molecule: long non-coding RNA, 378 nt
Filed under: Monodelphis domestica (gray short-tailed opossum)
Lineage: Eukaryota; Metazoa; Chordata; Mammalia; Didelphimorphia; Didelphidae
Description: lncRNA (ENSMODG00000034117.2)
Source: RNAcentral
GCCAAGCAUAUAGGAGAAAUCACUGAUGAGUGCCUAUCAUCUGGAGGUUUAACCUGCUCCUUUUACUCAGUGGAGACUUGGUUCCCCAUCCUGGUGCAACGUUGAAUUGACUUGCUUCUGACUUUGCCCAACAUUAGAGAUAGACCUGAUGCCCACUGCUUCCACUGCUGCUGAAAUAUUGUGGAUGCUUCAAGAACCAACUCCAGUGCCUUCUCUAUGUCUCUCCGAAUCUCCUUUGCCAACAAGGACCUUUUCUUCAAAGGUUAACUUAAGAUAUGAUCUCAUUUUAUAGGAGCAGAUUGGCUGUUCAAAUGGGACAUAAACUAGAUCAGUGGAGCAAAGAAUAAACUUUUGUAUAAAGAAAAGAAUAAAAUUAAC